CCUACGGGAGGCUGCAGUGGGGAAUAUUGGACAAUGGGGGCAACCCUGAUCCAGCCAUGCCGCGUGUGUGAAGAAGGCCCUCGGGUUGUAAAGCACUUUCAGUGAGGAAGAACGCCUGGUGGUUAAUACCCAUCAGGAAAGACAUCACUCACAGAAGAAGCACCGGCUAACUCCGUGCCAGCAGCCGCGGUAAUACGGAGGGUGCGAGCGUUAAUCGGAAUUACUGGGCGUAAAGCGCGCGUAGGUGGCUUGAUAAGCCGGUUGUGAAAGCCCCGGGCUCAACCUGGGAACGGCAUCCGGAACUGUCAAGCUAGAGUGCAGGAGAGGAAGGUAGAAUUCCCGGUGUAGCGGUGAAAUGCGUAGAGCUCGGGAGGAAUACCAGUGGCGAAGGCGGCCUUCUGGACUGACACUGACACUGAGGUGCGAAAGCGUGGGUAGCAAACAGGAUUAGAUACCCCCAGUAGUC
This 466-nucleotide ribosomal RNA is filed under the name Vreelandella stevensii. Its description in RNAcentral is "partial 16S ribosomal RNA". It matches the Rfam family "Bacterial small subunit ribosomal RNA", at positions 338 to 795 of the family's 1533-position model. The record is from RNAcentral. Lineage: Bacteria; Pseudomonadati; Pseudomonadota; Gammaproteobacteria; Oceanospirillales; Halomonadaceae.